RNAcentral lists this small RNA (630 nucleotides) under Pongo abelii (Sumatran orangutan). RNAcentral's name for it is "retained intron". The record is from RNAcentral. Lineage: Eukaryota; Metazoa; Chordata; Mammalia; Primates; Hominidae.
GCCCGAGCUACACUGGAAAUCCUCAUCCCUGACUUUGUUAAACAGACCUCUGAAGAGAAGCCCAAAGACAGUGAAGAACUUGAGUAUUUUAACCACAUCAGCAUCGAGGACUCGCGGGUCUACGAGCUGACCAGCAAGGCUGGGCUGUUGUCUCCGUAUCAGAUCCUCCACGAGUGCCUUAAAAGAAACCAUGGGAUGGGUGACACGUCUAUCAAGUUUGAAGUGGUUCCUGGGAAAAACCAGAAGAGUGAAUACGUCAUGGCGUGUGGCAAGCACACAGUGCGCGGGUGGUGUAAGGACUCCUUCUCUGCUGCCCGGUGGCCGCCGGGCGGGCGGCCCCUGGUGUGGCCCUGCGCCUCUGUGGCUUGGUCUCAGCUGUUGCCCUGGCAUUGUCCCUGAGCCCAGCUGUGUGUGCUGGCCACCACACGUUCAGCCUAAGGCGGACUGGCGGCCGUCCUGCCUGCACUUUUUCUGUCUUCUCCCUUUCCACCGCUGCCACCCCUGUCUCCAUCCAGCCCUUGUCCCUGUGGCAGGAGGAAAGGCCCUCCUCCUCGAACAGCCAGCAGAAUCCUGCUGCUCCCUGUUUCUGGAGGUGUGCGUCUUGGUGGGAGGGAGGCUCUUGGCUGCGUG